This 467-nucleotide ribosomal RNA is filed under the name uncultured bacterium. Its description in RNAcentral is "partial 16S ribosomal RNA". It matches the Rfam family "Bacterial small subunit ribosomal RNA", at positions 28 to 507 of the family's 1533-position model. The record is from RNAcentral.
GAUGAACGCUGGCGGCGUGCUUAACACAUGCAAGUCGAACGGAAAGGCCCAAGCUUGCUUGGGUACUCGAGUGGCGAACGGGUGAGUAACACGUGGGUGAUCUGCCCUGCACUUCGGGAUAAGCCUGGGAAACUGGGUCUAAUACCAGAUAGGACCACAUUUUGGAUGGUGUGGUGGAAAGUUUUUCGGUGUGGGAUGAGCUCGCGGCCUAUCAGCUUGUUGGUGGGGUAAUGGCCUACCAAGGCGUCGACGGGUAGCCGGCCUGAGAGGGUGUACGGCCACAUUGGGACUGAGAUACGGCCCAGACUCCUACGGGGGGCAGCAGUGGGGAAUAUUGCACAAUGGGCGCAAGCCUGAUGCAGCGAGGCCGCGUGGGGGAUGACGGCCUUCGGGUUGUAAACUCCUUUCGCUAGGGACGAAGCGUUUUUGUGACGGUACCUGGAGAAGAAGCACCGGCUAACUACGUG